GUGAGCAUUUAAACCUAGCUAAUAAAAUUAGUUUGUGGGGAAUAAAAUUCAUCAUAAGGCUAGCAACAUGCUUUUGCAUUCAUGCUGAGACAUAUUUUAUUUUGUGCUUUCAAAAUUCUUUUUGGAAAGGCUUUGGAAAAAGAAACAGAAAAGAAAUAAAAAAAAAAAACAACAGCCGAACCCCUGCAGCCCCGCUAGCGCGGCCCACCUGCGGCCAGGCAGCCCAGCGCGCGCCUCCUUCCCCCUCCCUGGCUGACGCGCGUGCCCCACAUGUCAGCAGCGCCUUCGUUCUUCUCCUCAGCGUGGACGAGCCGGUUUCGGCCGGGAAAAUUUCCCAGGGCCGAACCGAAUCCGGGUAAGCACGAUUUCUUACCAAAUCGGCUAAACGGCGCCUAUAUAAGCCCCUAGGUCAACCCCGCGUCCUGCGUGUGCAUUUUAAUCGCGAAAACUUCGCGAAAUCGGACCUCGCCGGAGCAGCACGCUUUCCGCACGCCGCGAGCCGUCUUCGUCAUCUCUCGGACCCAACCA
RNAcentral lists this long non-coding RNA (528 nucleotides) under Sorghum bicolor (sorghum). RNAcentral describes it as "long non-coding RNA (SBIC_LNC011603)". The record is from RNAcentral. Lineage: Eukaryota; Viridiplantae; Streptophyta; Magnoliopsida; Poales; Poaceae.